Hylaeus anthracinus is the source of this 978-nucleotide long non-coding RNA. RefSeq lists it as uncharacterized. The record is from RefSeq and is a predicted model, not a curated record. The transcript has 2 exons. Lineage: Eukaryota; Metazoa; Arthropoda; Insecta; Hymenoptera; Colletidae.
CAAGUGUUGCAAACAGAUGUUUACAUUUAUAUACAUACAUUCGUAUUCGUUGCUUUUUAUACUGAAUUCUGAAUUUAUUAUAACUUGCUAGAAUAUUAUAAAUACUACUAAUUUGUCCGAGUUUAAAGGGACGAUUACAGAAUUCCAAGAGUAUGGAAUACAGAUUAUCAGACUUCGUUAUCGUACUGGUAUUUCCGUGUUAUACGGCGAUACAAAUGAUUAUCGCAUCCUGGAAUGUGUAAUCGAUCAUAGAGGAGACGUUCCCCGCUGCUUAGGUCAUACAAACAAGGCUCAAUCGUUUCUUGGUUUCUCGCAUCUUGCUUGAUUUAUUAACUACGAACUAUAAAUUGUACACAAUCAGGGACGGGUUAACAUAUUGCAGUAUCAGAGACAGCGAAUACAGACUCUUUGGUUUAUCUUUUUAUCUUCUACGUUCACGAUGAUUUCGAUCAUCGAUCGCACGAUUCGCAAGAUCCCGAACAACGCUCGAGAAUGUUGGGCCCCGUGUAAAAUCCGCGGUCGAAUACAGUCGAAUCUAAUUUUAAUUGAUUCUAAUAUUAAUCGUGACGCACGCCGAAUGCGUGUCCCCCGAGAAAUAGAAUUCGUUUCUUGGCAUGAUCGGUCGGCGACGAUACAUCCAACUAGACUCCCAGAUAUCAGAGAUUAUUGUUAAGCUAUCGCGCUUAAGGGUAACGUUGAAAAUUACUGUCCACUUAAAUGUCGUCGGCAUCGUGCAACUGGAAGUAUUCGUACGAGAACUGAUCCACGACGAAAUACGUAAUAGGUUGCCAAUGAAUUUGAAUACCAAUUCGAAAAUAUGAUACGAUUCUUUGCUCGAAAUUAACCCUUUGGACUUGAUUGGCUUCUCAGACUUAUCCUCCUGAUACUGCCUAUAGUACAAAGGAUUGACUCUAAAAUCCAUUCGCAAAGUAUUUUAUUCGUAGUUCCUCGAGGAACGUCCUGUACUGUCUUUCAUAC